CCGUGAAAAAAUUAGAGUGUUCAAAGCAGGCAGAUCCAAUUUUCUGCCACCGAAUACAUUAGCAUGGGAUAAUGGAAUAGGACCCUGUCCUCCUAUUUUCAGUUGGUUUUGGCAGCGCGAGGACUAGGGUAAUGAUUAAUAGGGAUAGUUGGGGGCAUUAAUAUUUAAUUGUCAGAGGUGAAAUUCUUGGAUUUAUGAAAGAUUAACUUCUGCGAAAGCAUCUGCCAAGGAUGUUUUCAUUAAUCAAGAACGAAAGUUAGGGGAUCGAAGACGAUCAGAUACCGUCGUAGUCUUAACCAUAAACGAUGCCGACCAGCGAUUAGGAGACGUUGAAUACAAAACACCACCAUCGGCGCGGUCGUCCUUGGCGUCUGUCCCUUUCAACGGCAGGCGCGAGGGCGGUUUAGCCCGGUGGCACCGGUGAAUGACUCC
RNAcentral lists this ribosomal RNA (432 nucleotides) under Acanthamoeba sp. AG-2012. Its description in RNAcentral is "SSU rRNA". It matches the Rfam family "Eukaryotic small subunit ribosomal RNA", at positions 755 to 1116 of the family's 1831-position model. Lineage: Eukaryota; Discosea; Longamoebia; Acanthamoebidae. The record is from RNAcentral.